This is a non-coding RNA of Poeciliopsis prolifica (blackstripe livebearer), 685 nucleotides long. The record is from the annotation of a RefSeq genome assembly. Lineage: Eukaryota; Metazoa; Chordata; Actinopteri; Cyprinodontiformes; Poeciliidae.
CAUAACAAAAUAUUGCUUUAUUAUUUUAAUUAUUAAAUAAUAUACACUGUGUUAGGUCUUGGUUCAAUAAGCUACAUGCAAUCAUUUCAAUAUAUGGUAAUAAACAUUGAACCAGUCCGGCCCUCGACUUGUAGAAAUUAGGUUUUUUUUACACUAAUGUCUCUACAGUUAGAGGUUUUUGUACGACGACUCAACCAGUUUGUAUCACUGUGGUUCACGUUUGGUGGAGGAACCAGGCUGGAUGUUGGAAGUGAUACCCACCCCACCCUGACAGUGCUGCCCCCCUCCAGUGUGGAGCUGCAGCAGCAGCAGGUUACCCUCCUGUGUCUGGCCAACAAGGGCUUCCCCUCAGACUGGACUCUGUCCUGGAAGCUGGACGGCAGCAGCAGCAGCAGCUGGGAGCAGAGCAGGAGCCCCGGGGUGCUGCAGAAUGACGGCCUCUACAGCUGGAGCAGCACCCUGAGGAUCCCUGCAGACCAGUGGAGGAAGGUGGCUGUGACCUGUGAGGCCUCCCAGAGCUCCCAGCCUGCAGUCACAGAGACACUGAGGAGAGACCAGUGCUCCCAGUCCUGAGCUGAUUCUGAUACUGGCUUUAAUCUGUCACUGCUCUCACUCUUUCUCUGCUGAUUAUUCUCUAUUUUCACUGAGUCAUGUUUGCUUUGUCAUGUUUGUCACUGUUCAGAUA